RNAcentral lists this ribosomal RNA (442 nucleotides) under uncultured bacterium. Its description in RNAcentral is "partial 16S ribosomal RNA". It matches the Rfam family "Bacterial small subunit ribosomal RNA", at positions 338 to 795 of the family's 1533-position model. The record is from RNAcentral.
CCUACGGGUGGCAGCAGUGGGGGAUUUUCCACAAUGGGGGAAACCCUGAUGCAGCGACGCCGCGUGGGCGAAGAAGUAUUUCGGUAUGUAAAGCCCUAUCAGCAGGGAAGAAGAAAUGACGGUACCUGAGUAAGAAGCACCGGCUAAAUACGUGCCAGCAGCCGCGGUAAUACGUAGGGGGCAAGCGUUAUCCGGAUUUACUGGGAGUAAAGGGAGCGCAGGCGGCACGGCAAGCCUGAUGUGAAAGCCCGCGGCUCAACCGGGGGAGGGCAUUGGGAACUACCGGGCUGGAGUGCAGAAGAGGAGGGCGGAAUUCCAAGUGUAGCGGUGAAAUGCGUAGAUAUAAGGAGGAACACCAGUGGCGAAGGCGGCCCACUGGACGGUGACUGACGCUGAGGCUCGAAAGCGUGGGGAGCAAACAGGAUUAGAUACCCUGGUAGUC